GUAACAGGAAGAAGCUUGCUUCUUUGCUGACGAGUGGCGGACGGGUGAGUAAUGUCUGGGAAACUGCCUGAUGGAGGGGGAUAACUACUGGAAACGGUAGCUAAUACCGCAUAACGUCGCAAGACCAAAGAGGGGGACCUUCGGGCCUCUUGCCAUCGGAUGUGCCCAGAUGGGAUUAGCUAGUAGGUGGGGUAACGGCUCACCUAGGCGACGAUCCCUAGCUGGUCUGAGAGGAUGACCAGCCACACUGGAACUGAGACACGGUCCAGACUCCUACGGGAGGCAGCAGUGGGGAAUAUUGCACAAUGGGCGCAAGCCUGAUGCAGCCAUGCCGCGUGUAUGAAGAAGGCCUUCGGGUUGUAAAGUACUUUCAGCGGGGAGGAAGGGAGUAAAGUUAAUACCUUUGCUCAUUGACGUUACCCGCAGAAGAAGCACCGGCUAACUCCGUGCCAGCAGCCGCGGUAAUACGGAGGGUGCAAGCGUUAAUCGGAAUUACUGGGCGUAAAGCGCACGCAGGCGGUUUGUUAAGUCAGAUGUGAAAUCCCCGGGCUCAACCUGGGAACUGCAUCUGAUACUGGCAAGCUUGAGUCUCGUAGAGGGGGGUAGAAUUCCAGGUGUAGCGGUGAAAUGCGUAGAGAUCUGGAGGAAUACCGGUGGCGAAGG
This 663-nucleotide ribosomal RNA is filed under the name uncultured Pseudomonadota bacterium. RNAcentral's name for it is "bacterial SSU rRNA". It matches the Rfam family "Bacterial small subunit ribosomal RNA", at positions 69 to 721 of the family's 1533-position model. Lineage: Bacteria; Pseudomonadati; Pseudomonadota. The record is from RNAcentral.